UAUCAUCAAGCAGUGAAGCUGUGUGCCUAAUGAGAAUGUUGUUGGCAGAGCCAUACACAAUUUAGCCCCUUUCAGAAAAUUUUACUCCCAAAUCAAAGAGGCCUAGCAUUGUAAGGAAAAGGAAAUUUGACACAGCUUUCGUAUCAUAAAGUAACAACAUGAUAGUAAAGGUAUAUUUUAUUAUUGCUCUAUAUGGAAGAGGUUGGUGAAGGAGUGAAUACAUUCAUCAUUUGUAAGCCUCUGACUGCAUAUCACUUGUUUCCUCAAAAUUAUAGUUUUCCCAGCUCAUAACCAAGUUGAAGAUCAGAGUAAGUGGGCUCAUUAAUUGUAGAAACCUGUCUGCUAAAUGUGUUUAGCACAUGUUUUGUUUACUAACAGAUUAAUUGUGAGGUUCUGGAUUUUUAGCUCCUUUAAAUGAUACUUCUUCAAUGUGAACCAAGAGUCAGGGUGCUAGUUAGACAUCAAAGUGCUGGAGCAGCAAGUCUUAAAGAUCGGCAGAGUCCAGCUUCAAGUAGGGGUUUACCUUCAGUUUCAUCAUCUUUACAUGGUUAUGAU
Molecule: long non-coding RNA, 555 nt
Organism: Stylophora pistillata
Lineage: Eukaryota; Metazoa; Cnidaria; Anthozoa; Scleractinia; Pocilloporidae
Source: RefSeq, a predicted model, not a curated record